This 241-nucleotide ribosomal RNA is filed under the name uncultured bacterium. Its description in RNAcentral is "partial 16S ribosomal RNA". It matches the Rfam family "Bacterial small subunit ribosomal RNA", at positions 1260 to 1500 of the family's 1533-position model. The record is from RNAcentral.
ACAUAGAGCGGAACCCGAAAACCUGUCUCAGUUCGGAUUGGAGUCUGCAACCCGACUCCAUGAAGCUGGAUUCGCUAGUAAUCGCGCAUCAGCCACGGCGCGGUGAAUACGUUCCCGGGCCUUGUACACACCGCCCGUCACACCAUGGGAGUCAGUAACGCCCGAAGCCGGUGACCUAACCGAAAGGGAGAAGCCGUCGAAGGUGGGACCGAUAACUGGGGUGAAGUCGUAACAAGGUAAC